GUAGAGGAUGCUGAAAGUGCAGAGAGACUGAAGGAGCUACAAGAAAAAAAAGAAGGAGCCUUUUACAUAUGGGAAAGCAAAGAGGUUUUAGUAAUAGCACUUUUGCUAAAUGUGAUUAUGAAGCACCAGUUUCCAUCAUUCAGGCUUGCACAACGUGUUCCAAUAAAAAUUAGUGAGGUUCACAAACGCGAUUGAAAGUACCUACCAAGUAGGAAAAGUAUGAGAAACCUCAGCAAACUCAACGAGUUCAACAUAUAUUGAUUUGAAAGUUGAAACUGAAGCAAAAUGAUGUUUUGUAGUGGUUUUGUUUACGUCAUCAACAUUAGUUUAUGUGUUUUCAAUUGGUCUAGUUAUUUUUGACCAUGUUAGAUUUUUUAGUCAAUCUUGUAAUGUUCCUUAAACACUAUUAUGUAUUUUUCUUUUUAUAUUUUCAUUGUAAUUAUCAAUAAAUGU
Long non-coding RNA from Vigna radiata var. radiata (mung bean), 453 nucleotides. RefSeq lists it as uncharacterized. Lineage: Eukaryota; Viridiplantae; Streptophyta; Magnoliopsida; Fabales; Fabaceae. The record is from RefSeq and is a predicted model, not a curated record. The transcript has 3 exons.